AUAUGCUUAAGUUCAGCGGGUACUCACGUCUGAGUUCAGGUCGAAAGUUCAAAGACGGAACGCCACAAGCCAGGCAUUCCACCGCAGCAUGCAUGUGAAUUGGCUACGCCCGAGUUACGGUGUGUAAAACGCGAAAUAAACUGACAGUUUCGCGCUAGCAUAACCAAAUCCCACAGCCGGGCACAACACUACGCAAGAACACGUCAAACAGACAUGAUCCCACGAGAACAACACGCACAGCAGUGCAUUUUUUGAUAACGACCCUGAACCAGGCGUGCCAAUGGAUGUAACUCCAAUGGCGCAAUGUGCAUUCGAAUGUUUAGUGUUCAAGGUUUCUGCAGUUCGCACUAAUUAUCGCAGUUGGCUGCGUUCUUCAUCGAUCCACGAGCCGAGUGAUCCACCGAUAAGACUAGAAUUUGUUCUUCACACGGAAGUGUGUAAAAAAAUAAUUGAAAAAAGAGAAUUGCUGGCGGUACACGCUAGCACUCAUUAAGUCUUAAACCACAUUGCUCACGCUAAGCAAGGGCACUACCACGUCGUCUCAUCACGGCCACGGACACGCACCCAAGCACACACAGACCACGAGUUACGGCACGUAAGGCCGAGGACAUCACCACAGUCCCCGGUCAGUCUGUAAUGCACUAGGCACAACAACCGCUCAACGACGCACAGACACCAGCAUAUCCGUUUGUUGCCCUACGAGCGUGCUCCCUCCGUUGCUGCAGCAAACCAACCAGCCCGGCGGUCCGCCACCAGCUCAAUGCCACACAGCCAACCAACGGCUUUUACUUGUGCGGCAAGGAGCCAGCAUACCAGCACCAACGUAUGGAAAGCACCCCAACACUCAUGCUCGCAGGGCAGCUGCCCACUCAGCGUCUUCCCAGCGCUCACAGAACAAAUCCAACGGUCUGUGUCCGUCUGCUACCAACAGACAGGGCAUAUGGCGGUGCCCAACGCCAGGUCAACUGGACAGCAGGUAGAUGGUGAAUGGAAUCACUUGGGUAAUGAUCCAGCAGCAGGUUCACCUACGGAAAC
Molecule: unclassified non-coding RNA, 1035 nt
Filed under: Heterodera fici
Lineage: Eukaryota; Metazoa; Nematoda; Chromadorea; Rhabditida; Heteroderidae
Description: sequence contains 18S rRNA gene, ITS1, 5.8S rRNA gene, ITS2, 28S rRNA gene
Source: RNAcentral